Molecule: long non-coding RNA, 2745 nt
Organism: Spodoptera frugiperda (fall armyworm)
Lineage: Eukaryota; Metazoa; Arthropoda; Insecta; Lepidoptera; Noctuidae
Exons: 2
Source: RefSeq, a predicted model, not a curated record
AGUAAAAUAAAAACAUUUAGCUAAGAGGUAGCUACUAUUACGUUGGUGAUAUAUCAUCAAUACGAAACAGGAUUAUUUUUUUUGCUAUUGCGCCUAUGUUUAUUGGAUGUAUGGCAGACAUUUUGUUAUCGAUAGCAAUGAUCUCACGUUAUAAAUCUCAGUCAAUUAAGUAUUAGUAUAUCCUUUAACAAAUAUUGUUCGAAAUCAUGGUUAGAUUAUGCAUACAUAAUAAUACAAUUAUUCUACUAUGCAGUACUUCUGGACACAGCGCAUAUUGUCCGGAAAUUCCUCUCUCUUGAGCCGCGGGAGCUUGGAUUUAUCCCGUUAUUGGUGGGCUACUUCUUUUUAUAUUUUUAAAUGUUUUAUUUUAAUUUAAUAUUAAAAAAUGUAAUAAACAAAUGUAAUAAAUAAAUAAAUGAUCAUUCUACUAAAAUUACAUAUUUUAUAAGUAAAACGUCAUAAAUUUUUUUAGGUAGUAGGUAGGCAGAGGUGCACAUUAUGGCACGUAAAGAGUGACACUAUACAUAUAGCUAAUUAUCCGUCCUAAGUAUGCAAAGAAGAAAAUAAAGAGUAGUACAGAAACAGUGGCUUUUAUAAUACUAAAUUAUGUAUUUUUCAACCAAGCCAUAUUUUCUGGAACCAUUUGAUUGGUUCACUAUCUAACCAAUGGUUUUGGUCUACGGACGGCGAGCAAGGGUAGCUUGCCGCCCGACCAGAAACAGACCCGUGCGUACGGCGCGUCGCGUUCUUCGCGCGCCUUAAAGAGAUGGUGCCGAGUAGGGCUAAUACCUGAUCCGGAACUGAAGAUUACCUAGCGGGUUCAAAAAGCAGGAGUAGGAACGGGAUAGUUUUUAGUCAGUAAGAGUCUGACACUCCCUCUCGCCUCGCCCAAGGCGGGAGAAGUCAUUGGAUGAUUUUAACUCAAAUAGCAAUGACGCAGUACAGUGAAAAGCACCUUCAUUUACAAUCGCAGAUCGUUGAUUUUAGUUCUAUAAUUAAUAGAAAUUAUGUAGGCGUCUAGCUUGUUUGGUUAUUAGGUUCACUCAAAAUAUUUUAUUUAAAAAUGUAUAUGUAUUAUCCAAUACUGAAUGAGUGAUUGACUGGCUAACAGACAACGUAAGGCCGAAACUACUGGACUUAGAAAGCUAAAACUUAGCAUAUAUGUUUCUUGAUGAGAGUAGGGGUAGUACUAAGAGAAGAUUUUCUUAAAUUCCUAUUUUUGACUAAGAUGUCAAUGGCAGAAGCUGGUAUAAUAAUACUUUUUGAAGUAUAAGUAUAUAAGAAAGCUAAGAUUUUUUUUAAACAAAAACUAGGUACUGGAGGCGUUGUGUAUUUCAGAUUUGUGGCGAUACAUGAAAAAUAUUGUGGAUUCGGUUUUAAAAAACAAACAGCUUGUUCAAUUACUGUUGGGGCCUCAUAUUCUUUACAGUAAGUAAUACCAGGCAACUAAAUAUUUUGUAAAAAGUCCUAUUACUAAAAAUUGUUUGGUUAGUUUCAUUGUUUUUCCACUGAUCUCAAAAAUAUAGGUGCCAAAUUAAAUUGUUUGCAGACAUACCUACAUUCGAAACAUUUGCAAAAAAUAGCUUACUGUAACUAGAGAGUAUUUAAAUUUCCUUUCACCUACACCUUAACAUGUGCUUAACUAGUGUUUGUUGCUAAAGUGCCCAAAGUAGGCGCAAUUGUUAUAGCUCAAGAAUACACGAUGCGUGUCGAUGAUGUGUUAAGACAACUGAACAAAUAUUGUUUUAUUACAGUUACAAGCGACCCAGAAGAAGUCAGGAUUAUUGCUAACACAUGUUUGGACAAGCCAUAUUUUUACAAUUUCUUAGUUGAUGGAAUAGGAAAUGGACUGAUAACAACAGAUGGUAUAAUGAAACUUAAUGAAUUCGAAUUAUGUUCAGUCCUAUUUGUAAGAAAGAUAAAUCUACUAAUGUGUGAUAUUUUAGGGGCAAUGUGGAAGAUACAUCGUAAACUUAUUAAUCCAGCAUUCAGUCAAUUAGUACUAAACACAUUUUCUUCAUUCACAGUACUAAACGCCCGAAAUGAACGCGCAAGCUCGAAACCUAAUCUCACAAUUAACUGUCAUGGCGGGUAAAGGACCAGUUGAUGUCAAAGAAUGUUUAAAUAAAUAUAUUCUAAGAACAGUUUGUCGAACAUCACUAGGACUUGACGCUAAAGAUCAAGACAUGAUUGACCGCGAAUAUGCAAGAACUAUCGACGAAUAUGCGAAAAUAAUAUGUAGUCGAUGUUAUAAUGUGGGAUUACAUCCGUCAUUGAUAUACAAUUGGACUACAUUGAGAAGUAAAGAAUUAAAAGUAGUCGAAGAUAUCAAGAAUAUUAUAAAUCCUAUAAGCGUGUAUAGUAUCUAACCCAUUGUAAAGUCUGAAAACCUAUACAUGAGUCACUUAUGGCUUUUUUCUAAAGGGGGGAAAAUCAUCCAAUAACUUAUCUUGCCUUGGGUGAGGUGAGAGGGACUGUCAGACUCUUACUGACUAAAAAACACCCUGAUCCUUUUCCUACUUUAUGUCUUAGCCCCGGUAACGCGUUAUGUUGCCCGCAGCUCUAGACGUUGUCCGCAGCUCCGAUGAUGUCUAGGUCUAUAGGUAUUCAUUAUUUUAAUCUUCAUCAUCAUCAUCAUCAUCAUCAGCCGAGAGACGUCCACUGCUGAACAAAGGCCUCCCCCUUGGUCCUCCACGUAGAACGACAAGCCGCCACCUGCAUCCACUGGCUCCCCGCCACUCUGAC